CCUACGGGAGGCAGCAGUAGGGAAUCUUCCGCAAUGGACGAAAGUCUGACGGAGCAACGCCGCGUGAACGAUGAAGGCCUUCGGGUCGUAAAGUUCUGUUGUUAGGGAAGAACAAGUGCUAGUUGAAUAAGCUGGCACCUUGACGGUACCUAACCAGAAAGCCACGGCUAACUACGUGCCAGCAGCCGCGGUAAUACGUAGGUGGCAAGCGUUGUCCGGAAUUAUUGGGCGUAAAGCGCGCGCAGGCGGUUUCUUAAGUCUGAUGUGAAAGCCCCCGGCUCAACCGGGGAGGGUCAUUGGAAACUGGGAAACUUGAGUGCAGAAGAGGAAAGUGGAAUUCCAAGUGUAGCGGUGAAAUGCGUAGAGAUUUGGAGGAACACCAGUGGCGAAGGCGACUUUCUGGUCUGUAACUGACGCUGAGGCGCGAAAGCGUGGGGAGCAAACAGGAUUAGAUACCCUGGUAGUCCACGCUGUAAACGAUGAGUGCUAAGUGUUAGAGGGUUUCCGCCCUUUAGUGCUGAAGUUAACGCAUUAAGCACUCCGCCUGGGGAUACGGUCGCAAGACUGAAACUUAAANGAAUUGACGG
RNAcentral lists this ribosomal RNA (587 nucleotides) under uncultured bacterium. RNAcentral describes it as "bacterial SSU rRNA". It matches the Rfam family "Bacterial small subunit ribosomal RNA", at positions 338 to 916 of the family's 1533-position model. The record is from RNAcentral.